This is a non-coding RNA of Acanthosepion pharaonis, 98 nucleotides long. NCBI's taxonomy places the organism in Eukaryota, Metazoa, Mollusca, Cephalopoda, Sepiida, Sepiidae. The record is from the annotation of a GenBank genome assembly.
GUUGAAACACCAGUUCUUGUACGAUCAUUAAUGUUAAGCAACAUCAAGCCUGGUCAGUACCGAGAUGAGUCACCACUUGGGAAUACCAGGUGCUGUAA